UCCUACGGGAGGCAGCAGUAGGGAAUCUUCCGCAAUGGACGAAAGUCUGACGGAGCAACGCCGCGUGAGUGAUGAAGGCUUUCGGGUCGUAAAACUCUGUUGUUAGGGAAGAACAAGUGCUAGUUGAAUAAGCUGGCGCCUUGACGGUACCUAACCAGAAAGCCACGGCUAACUACGUGCCAGCAGCCGCGGUAAUACGUAGGUGGCAAGCGUUAUCCGGAAUUAUUGGGCGUAAAGCGCGCGCAGGUGGUUUCUUAAGUCUGAUGUGAAAGCCCACGGCUCAACCGUGGAGGGUCAUUGGAAACUGGGAGACUUGAGUGCAGAAGAGGAAAGUGGAAUUCCAUGUGUAGCGGUGAAAUGCGUAGAGAUAUGGAGGAACACCAGUGGCGAAGGCGACUUUCUGGUCUGUAACUGACACUGAGGCGCGAAAGCGUGGGGAGCAAACAGGAUUAGAUACCCUGGUAGUCCACGCCGUAAACGAUGAGUGCUAAGUGUUAGAGGGUUUCCGCCCUUUAGUGCUGAAGUUAACGCAUUAAGCACUCCGCCUGGGGAGUACGGCCGCAAGGCUGAAACUCAAAGGAA
Molecule: ribosomal RNA, 582 nt
Filed under: uncultured bacterium
Lineage: Bacteria
Description: bacterial SSU rRNA
Rfam family: Bacterial small subunit ribosomal RNA
Source: RNAcentral